GGCCAGACUCCUACGGGAGGCAGCAGUGGGGGAUAUUGCACAAUGGGGGGAACCCUGAUGCAGCGACGCCGCGUGGGUGAAGGAGCGUUUCGGCGCGUAAAGCCCUAUCGGCAGGGAAGAAGGAGGACGGUACCUGACUAAGAAGCCCCGGCUAACUACGUGCCAGCAGCCGCGGUAAUACGUAGGGGGCAAGCGUUAUCCGGAUUCACUGGGUGUAAAGGGAGCGUAGACGGCCAUGCAAGCCAGGGGUGAAAGCCCGGGGCCCAACCCCGGGACUGCCCUUGGAACUGCAUGGCUGGAGUGCGGGAGGGGCAGGCGGAAUUCCUGGUGUAGCGGUGAAAUGCGUAGAUAUCAGGAGGAACACCGGCGGCGAAGGCGGCCUGCUGGACCGUGACUGACGUUGAGGCUCGAGAGCGUGGGGAGCAAACAGGAUUAGAUACCCCCGUA
RNAcentral lists this ribosomal RNA (447 nucleotides) under uncultured bacterium. Its description in RNAcentral is "partial 16S ribosomal RNA". It matches the Rfam family "Bacterial small subunit ribosomal RNA", at positions 329 to 792 of the family's 1533-position model. The record is from RNAcentral.